GUAGGGAAUAUUGCGCAAUGGGGGAAACCCUGACGCAGCGACGCCGCGUGAGUGAUGAAGGCCUUCGGGUCGUAAAGCUCUGUUGCAGGGGAAUAAAAAAAUGAAGGUACCCUGUGUGGAAGGAUCGGCUAACUUCGUGCCAGCAGCCGCGGUAAGACGAGGGAUCCUAGCGUUGCUCGGAAUCAUUGGGCGUAAAGAGGGCGUAGGUGGCUUGGUAAGUCAGGUGUGAAAGCCCAGGGCUCAACCCUGGAAGUGCAUUUGAUACUGCUGAGCUUGAGUGUCGGAGAGGUUACCGGAAUACCUGGUGUAGUGGUGAAAUACGUAGAUAUCAGGUGGAACACCGGAGGCGAAGGCGGGUAACUGGACGAACACUGACACUGAGGCCCGAAAGCGUGGGGAUCAAACAGGAUUAGAAACCCGAGUAGUCC
Molecule: ribosomal RNA, 428 nt
Filed under: uncultured bacterium
Lineage: Bacteria
Description: partial 16S ribosomal RNA
Rfam family: Bacterial small subunit ribosomal RNA
Source: RNAcentral